RNAcentral lists this ribosomal RNA (274 nucleotides) under uncultured bacterium. RNAcentral describes it as "partial 16S ribosomal RNA". It matches the Rfam family "Bacterial small subunit ribosomal RNA", at positions 523 to 796 of the family's 1533-position model. The record is from RNAcentral.
AUACGGAGGGUGCGAGCGUUACUCGGAGUCACUGGGCGUAAAGCGUCCGUAGGCGGUCGGGUAAGUCGGGUGUGAAAGCCCCGGGCUCAACCUGGGAAGUGCACCCGAUACUGCUCGACUCGAGUGCGGGAGAGGAUGGCGGAAUUCCCGGUGUAGCGGUGAAAUGCGUAGAGAUCGGGAGGAACACCAGUGGCGAAGGCGGCCAUCUGGCCCGCAACUGACACUGAGGGACGAAAGCGUGGGGAGCAUACAGGAUUAGAAACCCUAGUAGUCC